GACGUAGGGGGCGAGCGUUGUCCGGAAUCAUUGGGCGUAAAGGGCUCCUAGGUGGUUCAGUAGGUCGACUGUGAAAAUCCAAGGCUCAACCUUGGGACGCCAGUCGAUACUGCUGUGACUUGAGUUCGGUAGAAGAGUGUGGAAUUUCUGGUGUAGCGGUGAAAUGCGCAGAUAUCAGAAGGAACGCCAACGGCGAAGGCAGCACUCUGGGCCGAAACUGACACUGAAGAGCGAAAGCGUGGGGAGCAAACAGG
Molecule: unclassified non-coding RNA, 254 nt
Filed under: uncultured Acidimicrobiia bacterium
Lineage: Bacteria; Bacillati; Actinomycetota; Acidimicrobiia
Description: contains 16S-23S intergenic spacer region
Rfam family: Bacterial small subunit ribosomal RNA
Source: RNAcentral